This 832-nucleotide ribosomal RNA is filed under the name Humaria sp. RNAcentral's name for it is "LSU rRNA". It matches the Rfam family "Eukaryotic large subunit ribosomal RNA", at positions 71 to 915 of the family's 3401-position model. The record is from RNAcentral. Lineage: Eukaryota; Fungi; Ascomycota; Pezizomycetes; Pezizales; Pyronemataceae.
GGGAUUGCCUCAGUAACUGCGAGUGAAGUGGCAAAAGCUCAAAUUUGAAAUCCGGUACCAGUGGUGCCCGAGUUGUAAUUUGGAGAGACAAAUUUUGUCGAUGGCACCGGCCUAGGUUCCUUGGAACAGGACAACAUAGAGGGUGAGAAUCCCGUGCCUGGCUGGACUGCUGUUGCGCCGAUAAAUUGUCUUCGACGAGUCGAGUUGUUUGGGAAUGCAGCUCAAAAUGGGUGGUAAAUGUCAUCUAAAGCUAAAUAUUGGCGAGAGACCGAUAGCGCACAAGUAGAGUGAUCGAAAGAUGAAAAGCACUUUGAAAAGAGAGUCAAAAAGUACGUGAAAUUGCUGAAAGGGAAGCGCUUGAGACCAGACUCGAGCCGUGGUGAUCAGCUGUGCUUCUGUACGGUGUCACUCGUCACGGUUUGGGCCAGCAUCGGUUCUGGCGGCCGGAUAAAAGGUGGGGGAAUGUAGCUUCCUCUGGGGAGUGUUAUAGUCCCCAUCAAAAUGCGGCCAGCUGGGACUGAGGACCGCGCUUCAGGGCUAGGAUGCUGGCGUAAUGGUCUUAAGCGACCCGUCUUGAAACACGGACCAAGGAGUCUAACAUCUAUGCGAGUGUUCGGGUGGAAAACCCUUGCGCGUAAUGAAAGUGAAUGGAGGUGGGAACCUGGAAGGGUGCACCAUCGACCGAUCCCGAUGUCUUCGGAAGGAUUUGAGUAGGAGCAUAGCUGUUGGGACCCGAAAGAUGGUGAACUAUGCCUGAAUAGGGUGAAGCCAGAGGAAACUCUGGUGGAGGCUCGCAGCGGUUCUGACGUGCAAAUCGAUCGUCAAAUUUGGG